This 460-nucleotide ribosomal RNA is filed under the name uncultured bacterium. RNAcentral describes it as "partial 16S ribosomal RNA". It matches the Rfam family "Bacterial small subunit ribosomal RNA", at positions 338 to 795 of the family's 1533-position model. The record is from RNAcentral.
CCUACGGGAGGCUGCAGUGAGGAAUAUUGGUCAAUGGCCGGAAGGCUGAACCAGCCAUGCCGCGUGAAGGUCAGUGCCCUAUGGGCGUUAAACUUCUUUUGUGCGGGAGCAAUAAUGGUCACGUGUGGCCAGACGAGAGUACCGUACGAAUAAGCAUCGGCUAACUCCGUGCCAGCAGCCGCGGUUAUACGGGGGAAGCAAGCGUUAUCCGGAUUUAUGGGGUUUAAAGGGUGCGUAGGCUGUGAGGUCAGUCAGCGGUGAAAUGCACCCGCUCAAAGGGGUGAAGUGCCAUUGAUACUGCCUUGCUGGAAAGCGGAUGCCGUAGGAGGAAUGUGUGGUGUAGCGGUGAAAUGCAUAGAUAUCACACAGAACACCGAUUGCGAAGGCAUCUCACGAAUCCGCGAUUGACGCUGAGGCACGAAAGCGUGGGUAUCAAACAGGAUUAGAUACCCGUGUAGUC